UCCAUUGUUAACCUUGUGAACACAUACUAAUUCUCACGCCUGAGCUAUCCCCCGACGGAACCGCCGUCAAGCUUUCGGUGUUGACUGUGUUUACUGUGCAGGAUCAGGACGUCUUACGUGAUUGGGACGUGGAGAAAGAUCUUGGCGUUAACAUUGGCGCUAGAAGGAGGGCUUUGAGUUCUAGUGUCAUUAAAAUUUUCAAUCACAAUCGUUUAACCUACUUUGGAAAAUGAUG
RNAcentral lists this long non-coding RNA (235 nucleotides) under Panax ginseng (ginseng). RNAcentral's name for it is "long non-coding RNA (PGIN_LNC019122)". The record is from RNAcentral. Lineage: Eukaryota; Viridiplantae; Streptophyta; Magnoliopsida; Apiales; Araliaceae.